GGUCCGGUGGUAUAGUGGUAACACCUCCCUCUUCGGUAUAUCCUUUGCCAUGUAAAUAAUGGGAUGUCUCUUGUUCGAAUCAAGGCCAGGCCA
Molecule: non-coding RNA, 93 nt
Organism: Mycena leptocephala
Lineage: Eukaryota; Fungi; Basidiomycota; Agaricomycetes; Agaricales; Mycenaceae
Source: the annotation of a GenBank genome assembly